CUCGGCUCUCGCAUCGAUGAAGAACGUAGCGAAAUGCGAUACUUGGUGUGAAUUGCAGAAUCCCGUGAACCAUCGAGUUUUUGAACGCAAGUUGCGCCCAAAGCCAUUAGGCUAAGGGCACGUCUGCCUGGGCGUCACGCAUCACGUCGCCCCAACCCCAA
Molecule: ribosomal RNA, 161 nt
Filed under: Ilex pedunculosa
Lineage: Eukaryota; Viridiplantae; Streptophyta; Magnoliopsida; Aquifoliales; Aquifoliaceae
Description: 5.8S ribosomal RNA
Rfam family: 5.8S ribosomal RNA (bases 1-137)
About the family: 5.8S ribosomal RNA (5.8S rRNA) is a component of the large subunit of the eukaryotic ribosome. It is transcribed by RNA polymerase I as part of the 45S precursor that also contains 18S and 28S rRNA. Functionally, it is thought that 5.8S rRNA may be involved in ribosome translocation.
Source: RNAcentral